This 71-nucleotide transfer RNA is filed under the name Candidatus Kaiserbacteria bacterium RIFOXYD1_FULL_47_14. RNAcentral's name for it is "tRNA-Pro". It matches the Rfam family "tRNA". From Rfam's summary of the family: Transfer RNA (tRNA) molecules are approximately 80 nucleotides in length. Their secondary structure includes four short double-helical elements and three loops (D, anti-codon, and T loops). The record is from RNAcentral. Lineage: Bacteria; Candidatus Kaiseribacteriota.
CGGGGCGUAGUAUACCGGUAGUACGCUUGCUUUGGGAGCAAUUAGACCGAGUUCGAUUCUCGGCGCCCCGA